AUUGAACGCUGGCGGCAGGCCUAACACAUGCAAGUCGAGCGGAGCGGCGGACGGGUGAGUAAUGCCUAGGAAUCUGCCUGGUAGUGGGGGAUAACGUACGGAAACGGGCGCUAAUACCGCAUACUAUCAGAUGAGCCUCGGUCGUAUUAGCUAGUUGGGGGGGUAAAGGCCUACCAAGGCGACGAUCCGUAACUGGUCUGAGAGGAUGAUCAGUCACACUGGAAUGGAGCAACGGUCCAGACGCCUACGGGAGGCAGCGGUGGGGAAUUUUGGCCAAUGGGCGAAAGCCUGAUCCAGCCAGCCCGCGUGUGUGAAGAAGGUCUUCGGAUUGUAAAGCACUUUAAGUUGGGAGGCGUUACCAACAGAAUAAGCACCGGCUAACUUCGUGCCAGCCGCCGCGGUAAUUC
This 407-nucleotide ribosomal RNA is filed under the name uncultured bacterium. RNAcentral's name for it is "partial 16S ribosomal RNA". It matches the Rfam family "Bacterial small subunit ribosomal RNA", at positions 30 to 526 of the family's 1533-position model. The record is from RNAcentral.